Molecule: ribosomal RNA, 484 nt
Filed under: uncultured bacterium
Lineage: Bacteria
Description: bacterial SSU rRNA
Rfam family: Bacterial small subunit ribosomal RNA
Source: RNAcentral
GACGAACGCUGGCGGCGUGCUUAACACAUGCAAGUCGAGCGGUAAGGCUCCUUCGGGAGUACACGAGCGGCGAACGGGUGAGUAACACGUGAGCAAUCUGCCCUUCACACGGGGAUAACUCCGGGAAACCGGUGCUAAUACCCGAUACGACCACUUCAGGCAUCUGAUGGUGGUGGAAAGUUCCGGCGGUGAAGGAUGAGCUCGCGGCCUAUCAGCUUGUUGGUGGGGUAAAGGCCUACCAAGGCAACGACGGGUAGCCGGCCUGAGAGGGUGACCGGCCACACUGGGACUGAGACACGGCCCAGACUCCUACGGGAGGCAGCAGUGGGGAAUAUUGGACAAUGGGCGAAAGCCUGAUCCAGCAACGCCGCGUGAGGGAUGACGGCCUUCGGGUUGUAAACCUCUUUCAGUAGGGACGAAGCGCAAGUGACGGUACCUACAGAAGAAGCACCGGCCAACUACGUGCCAGCCGCCGCCGUAACAC